Molecule: transfer RNA, 85 nt
Filed under: Methanobacteriota archaeon
Lineage: Archaea; Methanobacteriati; Methanobacteriota
Also listed under: 3 other names
Description: Euryarchaeota archaeon tRNA-Leu
Rfam family: tRNA
About the family: Transfer RNA (tRNA) molecules are approximately 80 nucleotides in length. Their secondary structure includes four short double-helical elements and three loops (D, anti-codon, and T loops). Further hydrogen bonds mediate the characteristic L-shaped molecular structure. tRNAs have two regions of fundamental functional importance: the anti-codon, which is responsible for specific mRNA codon recognition, and the 3' end, to which the tRNAs corresponding amino acid is attached (by aminoacyl-tRNA synthetases). tRNAs cope with the degeneracy of the genetic code in two manners: having more than one tRNA (with a specific anti-codon) for a particular amino acid; and 'wobble' base-pairing, i.e. permitting non-standard base-pairing at the 3rd anti-codon position.
Source: RNAcentral
GCAGGUGUACCCGAGUGGUCAAAGGGGUCGGGCUCAAGUUCCGAUGCGUAGAGCUUCGCAGGUUCGAAUCCUGCCUCCUGCACCA